CAGCCGCCACGGGAAUACGAAGGGGGCUAGCGUUGUUCGGAAUCACUGGGCGUAAAGGGUGCGUAGGCGGAUUCUUAAGUCAGGGGUGAAAUCCCGAGGCUCAACCUCGGAACUGCCUUUGAUACUGGGGAUCUUGAGUCCGGAAGAGGUGAGUGGAACUGCGAGUGUAGAGGUGAAAUUCGUAGAUAUUCGCAAGAACACCGGUGGCGAAGGCGGCUCACUGGUCCGGAACUGACGCUGAGGCACGACAGCGUGGGGAGCAAACAGGAUUAGAUACCCCCGUAGUCCCUGUCUCUUAUAC
RNAcentral lists this ribosomal RNA (301 nucleotides) under uncultured bacterium. Its description in RNAcentral is "partial 16S ribosomal RNA". It matches the Rfam family "Bacterial small subunit ribosomal RNA", at positions 509 to 807 of the family's 1533-position model. The record is from RNAcentral.